RNAcentral lists this ribosomal RNA (119 nucleotides) under Ricinus communis (castor bean). The record is from RNAcentral. Lineage: Eukaryota; Viridiplantae; Streptophyta; Magnoliopsida; Malpighiales; Euphorbiaceae.
GGGUGCGAUCAUACGAGCACUAAUGCACCGGAUCCCAUAAGAACUCCGUAGUUAAAUGAUCUUGGGCGAGAGUAGUACUAAGAUGGGUGACCUCUUGGGAAGUCCUCGUGUUGCACCCC